RNAcentral lists this transfer RNA (54 nucleotides) under Rhinebothrium taeniuri. RNAcentral describes it as "tRNA-Arg". The record is from RNAcentral. Lineage: Eukaryota; Metazoa; Platyhelminthes; Cestoda; Rhinebothriidea; Rhinebothriidae.
GGUGUGUUUAGUCCUAUGUUACGGCCAUAGGGAGGGUAUAAUUACCACACGCUU